This 506-nucleotide ribosomal RNA is filed under the name uncultured bacterium. Its description in RNAcentral is "partial 16S ribosomal RNA". It matches the Rfam family "Bacterial small subunit ribosomal RNA", at positions 28 to 523 of the family's 1533-position model. The record is from RNAcentral.
GAUGAACGCUAGCUACAGGCUUAACACAUGCAAGUUGAGGGGUAACGAGAGGAAAGCUUGCUUUCCUUGUCGACGACCGGCGCACGGGUGAGUAACGCGUAUCCAACCUGCCCCCAACUAAGGAAUAACCUUGCGAAAGUAAGACUAAUACCUUAUAAUUUCCUCAGAUGUCAUCUGACGAGGAAUAAAGAUUUAUCGGUUGUGGAUGGGGAUGCGUCUGAUUAGCUUGUUGGCGGGGUAACGGCCCACCAAGGCAACGAUCAGUAGGGGUUCUGAGAGGAAGGUCCCCCACAUUGGAACUGAGACACGGUCCAAACUCCUACGGGAGGCAGCAGUGAGGAAUAUUGGUCAAUGGGCGAAAGCCUGAACCAGCCAAGUAGCGUGCAGGAUGACGGCCCUACGGGUUGUAAACUGCUUUUAUACAGGAAUAAAGUUAGCCACGUGUGGUUAUUUGUAGGUACUGUAUGAAUAAGGACCGGCUAAUUCCGUGCCAGCAGCCGCCGUAA